RNAcentral lists this long non-coding RNA (1245 nucleotides) under Pan troglodytes (chimpanzee). RNAcentral describes it as "long non-coding RNA NONPTRT012905". The record is from RNAcentral. Lineage: Eukaryota; Metazoa; Chordata; Mammalia; Primates; Hominidae.
CGCAGCUGUGGGAAGAGAUCUUCUGCUCGCGCUGCUCCUCGCACUCAGCACCGCUGCCCCGCUACGGGCAGGUGAAGCCGGUCCGAGUGUGCACCCACUGCUACAUGUUCCACGUCACGCCCUUCUACAGCGACAAGGCCGGCCUGUGACGUGGUGCCAGGGGCAGCCCCAACCCACCCGGGCCAGGAACCCCCAGGAAGGUGGGGCCACGCUGCAGGCAGGUCUCACUGCGUCUCAUGAGGCCGCUGCCGCUGCUGCAGGGGCACCCAGACCUCCAGAGCAUCCAGAGCCUCUGUCCUGCCCACCCUAGCCUCCCUGCAGGGACCCCGGGCCGGCUGCAGGGGCCAAAAAGAGGUCAGCUUUGCCCGCAGGGGACCCGGAGGAGCCUGGUGGCUGCCUCAGGGCAGGGUGCCUGGUGGAGAAGGGCUGGGCCCUCCCACUGGUCCCUCGGAGAUCUGCUGGGGCUAUGGGAAUCGGGGCGGGUGAUGGAGGUGUACAAGAGUGGGGCCACUCUGCCGCCUCUGCUGUUGCGGUGAAUCUGGAAGCCAGAGCAAGGGCCACUCCACAGGCUCUUUGGCACAGCAGGGCUCCCUAUGUGCCUCCCAAACCUCAAAUGCAGGCUACCCAUUCUCCCCAUCAGCUGCCCACCUCGUUCCCCAGCCCUCACCCCUCACCCCUCACCAUCCUUCCUCAGGACUUGGCUAAACAACAUGCAUCUCAUUUCUUCUUGGAGUGGGGAGAUGCGGGAAGCUGACCCAGUGGUCCUCUAGGCAGGCAGGGUGCUCCUGGUGUCUGCCCACCACUGUCCCCUUGCUGAUGGCGUGGGGGUCCGACCAGGCACUGACACCGCAGGCAGAGGUUGCUCGGGGCCUUGGGUCGGGUUUACCAAUCAGCCAGGACGCCCGGGGCCACGAGCUCAGCCACCACUUCCCCUUCCCUCUGCACCCUCUGGAACCCUGGCCCAAUUCCUCAGACCCCAGAGUGGCCUGGGACCCAAGCUGCCACAGCUGAGUGGCCCCAGCGGACACCUCCUCAGGCUUAAAUCUCAGGCUUCACAUUGCAAUGACGAUUGCAGUUUUAUUUUUGGAGAUGACACACCUACUGCUUCUUUUCUAGGAUAAAUCUAAUUACUGUUUACUGGUGGAGUACAUAUGCAUAGAAACGGCUUCUGUCGGGGGGAGAGUAUAUAAUGGAGGAAAUAUUAUGUAUUGAGAUUAUAUUUAUUUUCUAAAUGCUGUAAUUUGA